GUCUUAAAAUCAGAAACAAAUUUGCAAGACUUGAGUUCGAAAGUUGCAUACUAGCUAGAUGUUACUUAUAGAUUAGAUUUUUCAAAACUUAAAUUCCAAAAUCAUUAUUUCUUUUAUUUUAUUUACGGUUGGCUGCUCAAGUUUGCCGUCGCCAUGCACCGCAUUGUACACGUGACUUGGCCUCAGCGGCUCUUUGCUGCCGAUUGCAGGUUGUGGCCGCCGCUGCGGUGGAGCUGCAAAUUCUGGUCCAUUUAAUUUGGAACCUUUCGUUGCAGAUUCCCUUGCGUAAUUGUGCCGACGUUGAUGUUAAUGACUAAUGAAGAGUCUUGUGAUGGAUGCUUCAACAUGUCAAAAUGUGGGUGUUGUACCAAAUAAAAUGAAGAGGAGGAUUAUUUGAUAAAAACGAUAAGGAUAUGGAGAAAUAGGAUUGGGCGUCGCUCACGGACCUCUCAUUGGGCUUGGAUAAGAUAAGAGUGCCCCACUUUCAAAAUUAUCACCCCCCAUUUCCUGCUCUUACGUUGUAAACUUUAUAAUACUAAUCAAUUCAUAUUUCAUUUUUGGAUAUUA
Long non-coding RNA from Salvia miltiorrhiza (redroot sage), 567 nucleotides. RefSeq lists it as uncharacterized. The transcript has 2 exons. NCBI's taxonomy places the organism in Eukaryota, Viridiplantae, Streptophyta, Magnoliopsida, Lamiales, Lamiaceae. The record is from RefSeq and is a predicted model, not a curated record.